CCUACGGACGGCUGCAGUGAGGAAUAUUGGUCAAUGGGCGCGAGCCUGAACCAGCCAAGUCGCGUGAGGGAAGACGGUCCUAUGGAUUGUAAACCUCUUUUGUCGGAGAACAAAACCCGGGACGUGUCCCGGACUGCGUGUAUCCGAAGAAAAAGCAUCGGCUAACUCCGUGCCAGCAGCCGCGGUAAUACGGAGGAUGCGAGCGUUAUCCGGAUUUAUUGGGUUUAAAGGGUGCGUAGGCGGUCCGUUAAGUCAGCGGUAAAAUUGCGGGGCUCAACCCCGUCGAGCCGUUGAAACUGGCAGACUUGAGUUGGCGAGAAGUACGCGGAAUGCGCGGUGUAGCGGUGAAAUGCAUAGAUAUCGCGCAGAACUCCGAUUGCGAAGGCAGCGUACCGGCGCCAGACUGACGCUGAUGCGCGAAAGCGUGGGGAGCAAACAGGAUUAGAUACCCUUGUAGUC
This 459-nucleotide ribosomal RNA is filed under the name uncultured bacterium. RNAcentral's name for it is "partial 16S ribosomal RNA". It matches the Rfam family "Bacterial small subunit ribosomal RNA", at positions 338 to 795 of the family's 1533-position model. The record is from RNAcentral.